Molecule: long non-coding RNA, 865 nt
Organism: Mercurialis annua (annual mercury)
Lineage: Eukaryota; Viridiplantae; Streptophyta; Magnoliopsida; Malpighiales; Euphorbiaceae
Exons: 4
Source: RefSeq, a predicted model, not a curated record
ACUAUUAUAUUAUAUACAAUAAAUAAUUCCUGCGUACAAAAACACAGCCCAUAAAUAUAAAUAAAAUGCAUGGAUGUAACAAAAUUUCAAAACCAAUAAUAAGUCAUCUCUUUUUAAUCUUUAUCUCUCUAUCUCUAACCCUAUCUGUUGUAUCUCAUGUAUGAACAGUUGAGGGGAAUGUUGUCUGGUUCGAUGUCAUUCAUUUGAAGCUCUCUUCAAUAUCAAAAACUUUAUAGUUUAUAUUAACUGAAUGAUUUCGGACCAGGCUUCAUUCCCCCCAACUACCUUUUUUUAUUUACAUGUAUUCUACUAAAUAUUACUCCUGUUCAGUCGCGGAGGUACUCACAGGCGGAUUCAUAUGCCCGUCCUAGUUGGAUUUGGUCCGAACGGAAUUUUAUUUAGAGAAAAUUUACAAUUUUAAUUCCGCUCUGUUGCAGGAGCUUUUCUUUUGUGGUGGUUUGAUAGAAACAUUAAGCAAUUAUAAAUAUUUCAACCGCCAGAACUGGCGGCCGGCUGGCUGGCCUCGUGUAAAUCGACUCGUUGAUCGUUCAUGUUUCAGAGACGAACCAAGAUAAGGUUGCUUGCCAGUUAUCACGGGAAAAGCAAGCAGUUUAUGAUUUUGAGCGAGUCAGCUGGUCUUCGAUUCUUUAUUUUUUUCUCGGAGGUUUUUCUUUAUUUUUAAUAAAAAUGUCAAACUGAUUUCAUUCUUAGACUGCAGUAGUAACUAGAAGUCUUUAUUUUUCUAGUUUGUUGUCGGAUUGGCCCGACAUGGUUUAUUGUUGCUUUGGCAUUAUUAUGUUAACUCGGGUUAUUUAUUAUUUAUGCCAUGUUGGAGUCUCGGAAUUGGCCGAGCAUUAUUAUUUAA